GGCCAACCCGUCUCUGUGGCAAAAGAGUGGGAAGAUCUCCGAGUAGAGGUGACAGACCUACCGAACUUAGUGAUAGCUGGUUGCCCGAGAAAUGGAUAGAAGUUCAGCCUUAUCCCCCUCCAGUCACCGAUGUGCCACUACCUACUAGACACCCAAGAGAGACCGAUAAGAGUUAUUCAGAAGGGGUACAGCUCUUCUGAACCAGGACACAACCUUACACAGGAGGUUAAGGACCAUAGUCAACA
This 245-nucleotide ribosomal RNA is filed under the name Chanos chanos (milkfish). RNAcentral's name for it is "partial 16S ribosomal RNA". It matches the Rfam family "Bacterial large subunit ribosomal RNA", at positions 773 to 1058 of the family's 2925-position model. The record is from RNAcentral. Lineage: Eukaryota; Metazoa; Chordata; Actinopteri; Gonorynchiformes; Chanidae.